This 472-nucleotide ribosomal RNA is filed under the name Streptococcus downei. Its description in RNAcentral is "bacterial SSU rRNA". It matches the Rfam family "Bacterial small subunit ribosomal RNA", at positions 28 to 474 of the family's 1533-position model. Lineage: Bacteria; Bacillati; Bacillota; Bacilli; Lactobacillales; Streptococcaceae. The record is from RNAcentral.
GACGAACGCUGGCGGCGUGCCUAAUACAUGCAAGUGGAACGCAUUGAUAUCACCGGAGCUUGCUCCACCGAUAUAAAUGAGUCGCGAACGGGUGAGUAACGCGUAGGUAACCUGCCUGAUAGCGGGGGAUAACUAUUGGAAACGAUAGCUAAUACCGCAUGAGAGUGUUUAACACAUGUUAGAGACUUAAAAGAUACAAUUGUAUCACUAUCAGAUGGACCUGCGUUGUAUUAGCUAGUUGGUAGGGUAGCGGCCUACCAAGGCAACGAUACAUAGCCGACCUGAGAGGGUGAUCGGCCACACUGGGACUGAGACACGGCCCAGACUCCUACGGGAGGCAGCAGUAGGGAAUCUUCGGCAAUGGACGAAAGUCUGACCGAGCAACGCCGCGUGAGUGAAGAAGGUUUUCGGAUCGUAAAGCUCUGUUGUAGCGGAAGAACGCGUGUAAGAGUGGAAAGUUUACACAGUGACG